This is a non-coding RNA of Caerostris extrusa, 115 nucleotides long. Lineage: Eukaryota; Metazoa; Arthropoda; Arachnida; Araneae; Araneidae. The record is from the annotation of a GenBank genome assembly.
AACGGCCAUACCAUGCUGAAUAUACCGGUUCUCGUUAGAUCACCGAAGUCAUUGAAGCAUCAUUGGGCGCGGUGUACUUGGUUGGGUGACCACCUGGGAACACCACGUGCCGCUG